RNAcentral lists this transfer RNA (69 nucleotides) under Heterocephalus glaber (naked mole-rat). It matches the Rfam family "tRNA". Rfam says of the family: Transfer RNA (tRNA) molecules are approximately 80 nucleotides in length. Their secondary structure includes four short double-helical elements and three loops (D, anti-codon, and T loops). Further hydrogen bonds mediate the characteristic L-shaped molecular structure. tRNAs have two regions of fundamental functional importance: the anti-codon, which is responsible for specific mRNA codon recognition, and the 3' end, to which the tRNAs corresponding amino acid is attached (by aminoacyl-tRNA synthetases). tRNAs cope with the degeneracy of the genetic code in two manners: having more than one tRNA (with a specific anti-codon) for a particular amino acid; and 'wobble' base-pairing, i.e. permitting non-standard base-pairing at the 3rd anti-codon position. The record is from Rfam by way of RNAcentral. Lineage: Eukaryota; Metazoa; Chordata; Mammalia; Rodentia; Bathyergidae.
GGGGAUGUAGCUCAGUGGUAGAACACUUGCCUAGCAUGCAUGAGGCCCUAGGUUCAAUCCUCAGUUCCA